RNAcentral lists this ribosomal RNA (253 nucleotides) under uncultured bacterium. RNAcentral's name for it is "partial 16S ribosomal RNA". It matches the Rfam family "Bacterial small subunit ribosomal RNA", at positions 524 to 776 of the family's 1533-position model. The record is from RNAcentral.
UACGUAGGGGGCAGGCGUUAUCCGGAUUUACUGGGUGUAAAGGGAGCGUAGACGGAAUUGCAAGUCUGAUGUGAAAAUCCGGGGCCCAACCCCGGAACUGCAUUGGAAACUGUAUUUCUAGAGUGUCGGAGAGGCAAGUGGAAUUCCUGGUGUAGCGGUGAAAUGCGUAGAUAUCAGGAGGAACACCAGUGGCGAAGGCGGCUUGCUGGACGAUGACUGACGUUGAGGCUCGAAAGCGUGGGGAGCAAACAGG